UUUGCGGUUCGAGAAUUAGGUCUAACACAUAGUGGUGGGGGGGUUGAAAGUGUUUGAGAUGAUAAUUAAACUUAAUUAAAAUGCAUGGAAAUUAAACCCAGCUAAAUAUAACAGACAACAUUAAAGUGAAUAAAAGCAUUAAACCAAACCUAAAUGACAACAUAGUGAACUAAAAAAAUAAAAUAUAAACUGAACCGUCCUAAAUCUAAAACAAUUGCAAUGUUAAAAUAAAAAAAAAAAAAUCAAUUGCACAUUAUAUCAGGAAUCACAAUAAAAGAAAGGAACAUAUUGCAAGGGCAUUGAAAUUAAAAAGAAUAACUUUAAUUAGAAUUGAUUUAACUAUUUAAUCUAAUAAAAAUAUAAAAAUACGUAAUGAAACCAUAACAUGGAUAACAACAAAAAGCCAAUGAAAUUGGAGAAAUGGACAAAAACAUGAAAUCAGCAUGCGGCACACCAAAACCAAAGUGAAUCAGCGUGAACUUCUUUCAAAAGCAAAUAAAUUUAUCCUAAAACAUUGUUUUCCUAAAGCAGCCAUCCCAUAUGCACCACCUCAUCACUAAAUCACCAAAUUCUCUCUUCCAAUUAACAAAGCAACUCCUACUUUUUUUUAAAUGAAAUAAAUUGAAAAGGUGCUCAAGAAUUUUAUCAUCAACCCGUGACAUCCGUGCAGCAUCCUCCAAAAAGAAGAUGUAAAUCUCCAAAAAAUUGAAUCCCGUGCACACCCCAUCAGCGGUUUUCUAAACAUCACUUGGUUAAAUCAAAGGCAAUGCAAAAAGUCUUGGAAUAAAAGCAAACUCUAAAAAAGAAAAUGGCUGCAGCGUGGCAAUUCUUCAUUCUAGAAAAUUAAGUGCAAGCUAAAUCAAACAAAAGCAAAAUGCGGCUUGUGUUCAUUUAUCAGAUGCAAAGUAGAAGGAAAUUAAAUGCAAGUAGUAAAAUGUUAAACAGCAAAAUGCAUCAAACGAAGAUUGAAAGGGGGGCAGUUGCUGGUCUUCAAAAAUCCCGAGAGGGAGAGCUCCCAAAAAUCAGAGUGGCGGCUGGAAAUACUUCUCAAUCACCCAAAAUCCCAUGGAAACUUUCCAAAACUCUCCAUAAAGAAACAACGUUCCAGACCAAUGUAUAUUCUGCCGAGAGAGAGCCCCCACCAAAAAAAAUGACGGCUGCCAAAUCCUAGGACCUUGAGGUGUGUGCUGAAAAAUUAGGGUGGGUCCACCCAACCCUAGGUAGGACAUAUGUCAC
RNAcentral lists this long non-coding RNA (1236 nucleotides) under Vigna radiata. RNAcentral describes it as "long non-coding RNA (VRAD_LNC012982)". The record is from RNAcentral. Lineage: Eukaryota; Viridiplantae; Streptophyta; Magnoliopsida; Fabales; Fabaceae.